This is a long non-coding RNA of Pistacia vera, 184 nucleotides long. RefSeq lists it as uncharacterized. NCBI's taxonomy places the organism in Eukaryota, Viridiplantae, Streptophyta, Magnoliopsida, Sapindales, Anacardiaceae. The record is from RefSeq and is a predicted model, not a curated record. The transcript has 2 exons.
CUCAGACCACUCUAGUCUUCUGGAGUUCAACAUUGGUGACCAAGAUCUAUUGAGAAUUUGAAAUCUUUCUGCAAUCAACUCGAUUCGGUGUAUCUUUCAUCAGAAGAAUUAAUGGCCGAAAGAGAUGUGAAUUCAAUCCAUGAUCCUGAAAUACAAGAAUCACAUUCAAGUGCCAUACAAGAAA